AUCUGAGAAAAAAGAGAAAAGGAUGAAUCUUGAGGAAGAGCUUGGUGAAGAACAAGGUUCGAGGAUGUAAAUCUAUCUGAUAUGUUGUUGAUGGGGAUUAAGAUUAUUGUAUUGACAUAUCUGAAAGUAUUCUACUGACAUAUCUGAGAAUUUUAAUGAUCUACCAGCAACUAGGUGUUAAGCUUCAGGCUGGGUGCAUGUUUCUUUUUGUCGGAAACAAAACAGUGCAGGCUCGUGCACCUGUUUUCCUUUUCCCCUUCGAUGGGGUCGUUCAGUUGAGGUGAAGCAAGCAAGCACCUCCCCGUGCCUUGCAUACCAAGGAGAGAGCGAGCCAUUGCAGAGGAGAGGGGAUACGAGGGUGGGCAGAGGUCAGGCAUUGCUAACAGAUUUGCGGCGGAGUGGGAAGCCGGCGCCUCAUCACUGGCUCCUGUUUGGCAUCGGCAAAGAGAAAGCUGCCGAGGAUGUGUUGCUCUAUGCACUGCUGUCGAAGUACAUCCUUGCUAUGAUGUAUUUUUCAGUGGCUUUCUCCAUUAGAAUGUUUCUCGUCAACGACCAUAUCAACCUGUCUGGUGUUCGCACAUGUCAUUUUGGUUGAGUUUACUGCCAUUCCGCCUCUUCCUCGUGAUGGUAUAGGAGUACACACUAAUUCGAUAAAUAAGAGGCGAAGUUGCCAACGCCUGAGAUAGUGGUUCCUACCUCUGGCCUUCGCACCUUUAGUUCCGCAAGUAGUUCAGCAACUCAAAUGAGCUCGAGGCAGAGAUGGCGGAGCUCGGGCGAGCUCGAGACUAUGGAUCCAGGGCUUGAGUGCUCACGGGAUGGAGGCAGGGAAGGGCGCCCUACGGGAAGUGAUUUAUGUGCUCCUUGAUCUGGCUUUUUAUAACUGAUGACAUCUUACAUUGUUGUCUUUUACCGAUUAACUGGUUAACUCUUUUCCUAAAUGGUCUUAGAUUUCUGCUUUCUAUUUGCGCCAGUUUCUUUUUACAAGAGAUGAGAUCUUACACAAUAUAUUUUUGCCUUGGUUGAUCUAAUUAAGAUUUUCCUUCAGCGCGUGCAUAUGAUGUGAAUAUAAAGCUAUUUGGAAGAACAUAUCCAUGGGCGAAAAAAUAUUAUCAUGUAUUUUGUCUGUCAUUUUGCUUGUGUUGAUGUAAUUUAUUGAGCUUUUUCACACGUCAUGAUAUUAUGCCUUAAUUUCUACUAGGCUGCUUUUACAUUUAAAAUUCAUUGUACAAACAUUAUUUACCUAAUUUAUGGAAACAAUAAAUUUGUAGCUUAGGUCAACUAGGAGAUGAUGUAAACCAAGUCACUCACCAGUUUAAGAUGGUAUGUUCUGAACUUUCAUUGCUUUAUGAAUGGACAAACGAUGUUAGAUAUGCAUGCUACUACAGUUUAGCCAUUUUUCAGUUUUCUACAUGAGCCACAGUGCCGAAGCCUUUGGACAGGCACUUUGUGGUAGAAUGUGUCAAACAUAGGUCUGUUUGCUAGAAUAUGUGUUGUGCCGAUGCUGCAACUAGCAUACGCAAAAUCACUUUGCUAUAUAUUUUUCAUAAUGCUACAUUCCAUCAAUUAACUGACUUCUUAUUGUUUUGAAUCUACUUACAUAGGUGUUUACAGAUUUACUUUGUUCCAGCGCCUACUUUGGAUCAUAGGAAACUAAAAAAGAGAGGGCGCCGCCACCACCGUCAUCAGGCUGGUCCACAUCCACGCGCUGCUCGGCGUCACUAGGUCACCGGCACAACUCCUCACACCUAGGUCGUUCAACAUUUUCUUCCGCUUUUGGUGCGUCACAUUUAGAGUCUUUCUUUCUCAUUUUACCGUGUUUGCAUGGUAAGAUGUUUGGUCGGAUUUGAAGGUUUGUAACCUUGGCUCCAAAGCUUCAAGCUCUUAUAGAAAUUAGAACCGAUGACCUUUUAAAAUGAGUCCUGCAUAAUAGUGUUGUUCAGUGGGAUGCAGAAUUUUUGUUCGUCUGAUCGGCUAUCCUUGAUGCUGAUUAAAGUACUGAUUUCAUCAUCAUAUGACUACAAUAAAUAAGUUGUGUGUAUAAAUAUUACUAACUGCUGAUAUUUUGCAUCAGUGAUUUCAAUUCGGUUGGCC
RNAcentral lists this ribosomal RNA (2091 nucleotides) under Triticum aestivum (bread wheat). RNAcentral describes it as "partial small subunit ribosomal RNA". Lineage: Eukaryota; Viridiplantae; Streptophyta; Magnoliopsida; Poales; Poaceae. The record is from RNAcentral.